Molecule: ribosomal RNA, 253 nt
Filed under: uncultured bacterium
Lineage: Bacteria
Description: partial 16S ribosomal RNA
Rfam family: Bacterial small subunit ribosomal RNA
Source: RNAcentral
UACGGAGGGUGCAAGCGUUAUCCGGAUUCACUGGGUUUAAAGGGUGCGUAGGUGGGUUGGUAAGUCAGUGGUGAAAUCUCCAGGCUUAACUUGGAAACUGCCAUUGAUACUAUCAAUCUUGAAUACCGUGGAGGUCAGCGGAAUAUGUCAUGUAGCGGUGAAAUGCUUAGAUAUGACAUAGAACACCAAUUGCGAAGGCAGCUUACUACCCGAAUAUUGACACUGAGGCACGAAAGCGUGGGGAUCAAACAGG